CUAACACAUGCAAGUCGAGCGGGGUUUUCGGACCUAGCGGCGGACGGGUGAGUAAUGCGUAGGAAGCUGCCCGAUAGAGGGGGAUACCAGUUGGAAACGACUGUUAAUACCGCAUAAUGUCUACGGACCAAAGUGUGGGACCUUCGGGCCACAUGCUAUCGGAUGCGCCUACGUGGGAUUAGCUAGUUGGUGAGGUAAUGGCUCACCAAGGCGACGAUCUCUAGCUGGUUUGAGAGGAUGAUCAGCCACACUGGAACUGAGACACGGUCCAGACUCCUACGGGAGGCAGCAGUGGGGAAUAUUGGACAAUGGGCGCAAGCCUGAUCCAGCCAUGCCGCGUGUGUGAAGAAGGCCUUCGGGUUGUAAAGCACUUUCAGCGAGGAGGAAGGGGUGUGUGUUAAUAGUACACACCUUUGACGUUACUCGCAGAAGAAGCACCGGCUAACUCUGUGCCAGCAGCCGCGGUAAUACAGAGGGUGCAAGCGUUAAUCGGAAUUACUGGGCGUAAAGCGCACGUAGGCGGUUUUUUAAGUCAGAUGUGAAAGCCCCGGGCUCAACCUGGGAAUUGCAUUUGAAACUGGGGAACUAGAGUGUGUGAGAGGGGGGUAGAAUUCCAAGUGUAGCGGUGAAAUGCGUAGAGAUUU
Molecule: ribosomal RNA, 644 nt
Filed under: gamma proteobacterium QLW-Oulin5E
Lineage: Bacteria; Pseudomonadati; Pseudomonadota; Gammaproteobacteria
Description: bacterial SSU rRNA
Rfam family: Bacterial small subunit ribosomal RNA
Source: RNAcentral